Molecule: ribosomal RNA, 253 nt
Filed under: uncultured bacterium
Lineage: Bacteria
Description: partial 16S ribosomal RNA
Rfam family: Bacterial small subunit ribosomal RNA
Source: RNAcentral
UACGAAGGGGGCUAGCGUUGCUCGGAAUCACUGGGCGUAAAGGGUGCGUAGGCGGGUCUUUAAGUCAGGGGUGAAAUCCUGGAGCUCAACUCCAGAACUGUCUUUGAUACUGAGGAUCUUGAGUCCGGGAGAGGUGAGUGGAACUGCGGGUGUAGAGGUGAAAUUCGUAGAUAUUCGCAAGAACACCAGUGGCGAAGGCGGCUCACUGGCCCGGUACUGACGCUGAGGCACGAAAGCGUGGGGAGCAAACAGG